AUUCUGCAUUGUAUUUUAUAGUGUUUGAUCCUCAUUGAGUUUAUUAUCAUCGAGAUUAUUAUUUUUUGAUUGAUGUUUUACUGUCUGCAUUUAAUUUAUUACUGGGGUUCGUUGCGGUGAUAUUCAUGUGAUUUGUCGUGUUUGAAUGAUAGUAAUAUAAUAACUUUCUCACCACCAUAUGAAUAUACACAUGUUAGUUCAGUUAAAUAAACUACGGUUUGCUACUUUCAUUUUCUGAUUUAUUUUGAGUGGAAUUGUGAAGAUGUGUUGACUUUAAUCUUGUUUGUUUGUGAGUAUUUGUUUGUUUGUUUAAUCCUUGUGUUUUGUUUGGUUUUUGGUGUUUUUGGCGAUUUUUCGUGUUACAAAUGAGACGCUUCGUUGUUCAUUUCGCAUACUACGAGGCAACCUGACCGACAGCAUAGCGGUGGAGGCCGAUGGUUGCGGUGACGGCGACGACGGUUUCGGGAUGAGAUUCGGUUUCAGAAUGGAAAGCACUAAUUGUGCCUUAAUUGAGGGCGUUACUUGUGCCUCCUAAUUGAGGGCGUUAAUUGUGCCUUUGAGGGCGUAAAUUAUGCCUCUUUAUUGAGGGCGUUUGCCUUAUUUGAAGGAUUCUUGGAAGAAGACCGGUUUUUCUUUUCGGACAUUAAAGUUUUAUUGUCUAAAUUUCCCCGGUCAUCUUGCAUGUCCGACGGUUAGAUAAUAAGCUUUCUUGAAUGAAAGAAUUAUCACGGUGAAUUGCCGAUUCUCGUUGA
Long non-coding RNA from Daucus carota subsp. sativus, 752 nucleotides. RefSeq lists it as uncharacterized. The record is from RefSeq and is a predicted model, not a curated record. Lineage: Eukaryota; Viridiplantae; Streptophyta; Magnoliopsida; Apiales; Apiaceae. The transcript is spliced from 2 exons.